AAAAAGAGGGGGAGAUUUAUCAUUUUAGGAACUUUCAGUCAGGUCUGACCUCCUACGUUGAAAUGAUUGCCCUUGCUCAGCUGAUGGCACGUGACCACAAUGCUCGCCCCUUACUAUCAUCACCUUCCAGGAAAACUGAUAAGCAGUGGUUAUUUACAAACGCAUCCACGAAAUCCAAUUAUUUCAUCUGAUGUCAGUCAUUAACGAGUGCCUACGUGGAAGGAGGAGCAGCUUUGAAGACCCCCAUAUCUCUGGAGGCAGUCCCGGGUGGCUAACAGGAAAGCUGGAAACAGGAACUUCUCCUGCAGUGCUGCACUGGGGUGUUUAGAAGUUGUCCUUCGUUAUUGAGUGUGAUGGAGUUCUUCAAGUACAUUCACUGUGACAUGGUGCUUCUACAGCCUGUUCAGAACGCCCCCUAAGAUUACACUGCUGUGUCCUAAUACCCCACAAAGAGGGCUCCUGCCUUUCAAUCACAUUUACAUGCUCGGCUAACCAGAAUUCACCAGGUCCACAAAAACACCUCUUUGUCCCUCUCUUCUCUAAGCAGAGAGCUUCAGUUCC
Molecule: long non-coding RNA, 561 nt
Filed under: Gallus gallus (chicken)
Lineage: Eukaryota; Metazoa; Chordata; Aves; Galliformes; Phasianidae
Description: long non-coding RNA NONGGAT006497
Source: RNAcentral